This 440-nucleotide ribosomal RNA is filed under the name uncultured bacterium. Its description in RNAcentral is "partial 16S ribosomal RNA". It matches the Rfam family "Bacterial small subunit ribosomal RNA", at positions 338 to 795 of the family's 1533-position model. The record is from RNAcentral.
CCUACGGGCGGCUGCAGUGGGGAAUAUUGCACAAUGGGGGAAACCCUGAUGCAGCGACGCCGCGUGAGUGAAGAAGUAUCUCGGUACGUAAAGCUCUAUCAGCAGGGAAGAAAAUGACGGUACCUGACUAAGAAGCCCCGGCUAACUACGUGCCAGCAACCGCGGUAAUACGUAGGGGGCAAGCGUUAUCCGGAUUUACUGGGUGUAAAGGGAGCGUAGGCGGCAGGACAAGGCCGGAGGGAAAUCCCGGGGCUUAACCCCGGAACUGCUUUGGAAACUGUGCGGCUGGAGUGCAGGAGGGGUAAGCGGAAUGCCUGGUGUAGCGGUGAAAUGCGUAGAUAUUAGGAGGAACACCGGUGGCGAAGGCGGCUUACUGGACUGUAACUGACGUUGAGGCUCGAAAGCGUGGGGAGCAAACAGGAUUAGAUACCCUUGUAGUC